CGAGCCUGAUCCAGCAUGCCGCGUGAGUGAUGAAGGCCUUAGGGUUGUAAAGCUCUUUUACCCGGGAUGAUAAUGACAGUACCGGGAGAAUAAGCUCCGGCUAACUCCGUGCCAGCAGCCGCGGUAAUACGGAGGGAGCUAGCGUUGUUCGGAAUUACUGGGC
Molecule: ribosomal RNA, 163 nt
Filed under: uncultured Sphingomonas sp.
Lineage: Bacteria; Pseudomonadati; Pseudomonadota; Alphaproteobacteria; Sphingomonadales; Sphingomonadaceae
Description: partial 16S ribosomal RNA
Rfam family: Bacterial small subunit ribosomal RNA
Source: RNAcentral